Molecule: ribosomal RNA, 262 nt
Filed under: uncultured archaeon
Lineage: Archaea
Description: partial 16S ribosomal RNA
Rfam family: Archaeal small subunit ribosomal RNA
Source: RNAcentral
AGGGUGUAAACGCUGCAGACUUGGUGUUGGAAGUCCUUUGGGGGCAUUCAGUGCCGGAGAGAAGUUGUUAAGUCUGCUACUUGGGGAGUACGUCCGCAAGGAUGAAACUUAAAGGAAUUGGCGGGGGAGCACCGCAACGGGAGGAGCGUGCGGUUUAAUUGGAUUCAACACCGUAAACUCACCAGGGAAGACUGUUACAUGAAAGCCGAGAUGAAGACUCUGCUAGAUUUUCAGAGAGGUGGUGCAUGGCGUCAGUGACUGU